UUCGGUAUCGCUCCUAACCAGUUCCUGCAAGUGACAGCUGUCGUCAUUAAUGAAGGCAUGUGGUGUACAGGGUCCCACUUGGACAGAGCUGGAGAACGUUAACAAAGAUGGAGAUUUUUUCUUAAUGUGUCCAGAGAAAUUUAAAGUGACGGCAGUCUGCCUGAUGUGUAAUCAGUUUGUGAACACAGUUAGCGUCCUACCACCUUUUAGUGCUUCACUUCUUGAUGUUGGUGCAUUAUAAAUUGCAUCCGAGGGUGUGAUCAGGAAUAAAUGCCCCUUCCAGCGUCCAGUGGAGCUUCUCCACCUCGGAGGUCUCUAGAUCAGUUGAAGUUUUGACCCGGAGGAGGUUGUCUGUUAUAUUGUGAACUGCUGUAUGAAGAUUUGUUACAGAAGCACGGAACGCAGAGCAAGUUGGUUCAGUUUUGUUAUUGUUUGUAUAACAAUACAAUAAUACUCUAAUUGUAUAGAGUAGUGUUCUGUAUACUGAAUGAUUUUGCAGAAGAGAUACUGUAAAAUGUAGACAUUUGCUUUCAUCAUCUAAACACAUGUAGCCCAUUAAUGAAGCCCCUGCAAAGUGAAAUUAA
Molecule: non-coding RNA, 584 nt
Organism: Struthio camelus australis
Lineage: Eukaryota; Metazoa; Chordata; Aves; Struthioniformes; Struthionidae
Source: RefSeq, a predicted model, not a curated record